AUGACAAGUUUCAAACUAGUAAAGUAUAUCCCUAGGAUAAAGAAGAAGAAAAGUGGGCUAAGGAAACUCGCAAGGAAAGUUCCAACCGAUCGUCUACUUAAGUUCGAGAGAGUUUUCAAAGCACAAAAACGUAUCCCUAUGUCUGUUUUCAAA
RNAcentral lists this ribosomal RNA (153 nucleotides) under Triticum aestivum (bread wheat). RNAcentral describes it as "partial small subunit ribosomal RNA". Lineage: Eukaryota; Viridiplantae; Streptophyta; Magnoliopsida; Poales; Poaceae. The record is from RNAcentral.